CUCAAGGUAAUUAGCAAAAACACAGUGACAAUAGAAUCUGUUGGAAAAUAAAGCAGAGAAAGACUUGACUGGUGAAUAAUACAAUAAACUGCAUCACAAUUAAAAAAAUUUCUAUGUAACUUCAAUAAUUUUUUUUUUUUUGUGCAACUAAAAAAAUUUCUAUGUAACUUCAAUAAAGUUCCAAACAACAACAAGAUUUUUUUUUUUUGUGCAACACUUGAAUUGAUGUGGAUCAUGGAUUUCAGUUCCAAACAACAACAAGAAUCUUCUCAUAAAAUUCUAAAUUCACCCUCCUAAUGAUAACUGUUGCUCAAAUUGCUUGACCUUGCUAGUUAGACUAGCAACAAACUCUUGAGUAUAAAUGAAAGAUGAAAUCUAAUCCAUCUGUCUCUGCGCUUGACAAUUUCAAAGUUCAAUGAAUUUUUUGGUUUUCUGUUAUGUUUCCAAUGAAACUGUAACAGACCGCCAAAAUUCCAUUGCAAUCCAUUUCAUGAGGAGAACAUGCCACAUGUAUUGAGGCUUUACAAAUUGCCAUGGAAGGAACUGACUAUACCCUACCGCCAAAUUAAACAAUGUCACUUGAAAAGUAUAACAGCAAAGAGUGUAACUACAAACACAGUUUCAAAUGUCACUAAUCAAACUCUAAACUAGUCUAAUCCAACGCCAAUCUCCCCACCUCCAAAGUAAAAGUACACAAUGUCGCGCAUAAGUGAGAGGAAGUAUAAAAUUAAACAAUUAUAAACCCUAAACAGCUAGUGAUUACCAAUAUCAACAUUAAAUCUAAUCCUUGCUCACUAG
Molecule: long non-coding RNA, 798 nt
Filed under: Citrus sinensis (sweet orange)
Lineage: Eukaryota; Viridiplantae; Streptophyta; Magnoliopsida; Sapindales; Rutaceae
Description: long non-coding RNA (CSIN_LNC002360)
Source: RNAcentral